GCCUAACUCAGGUGCCUCAGAGUGAACAGCAGAGGAAGAGAUGUUGAAAGAACAGGCCAAGGGGAAGACUGGACAGAAAAGUUGAGUCACAGCCCACAGGACAGUGUUUGGAAGAGUUUUCCAGCAGAAAUCUUGAACACUAAGUUGCAUGUGGUGUAGAGGCCAGAACCUGAAGGUUGUGUGAGAACCUAAGGGAAUGGUUUCUCUGAUGGAGGAAUCUUCUGAAAAAUAAGUUUGGGGACAAUGAAUACUGAGAGGAUGAGGGUAUGGAUUACUAUGGAAAGAUUAUAACGAAAACUGGAGAACAAAAAGGCGAGUCCAAUGAAAAAGGCAUGAUCACCUAAGAGGGCCAAAAAUUAUCCUGAAGGUGGCCUGGCCUUGAUAAAUUCACAGCCUGAAGUAGAGGAGGAUUUUUGAAUUUUGAAGAGGCAGCGUUUCUGACUCGUGUGCAAAUAACAAAGCCCAGGAGAGCAGGGCUGCAGUGACUGUACAUACUCCAAUAUAAUGAAAAUAAAAGGAGGUUGUGUCUUACCUCCCAAUAAGCAGAGUCAUCAAAGCAGUUCUGGUCAGAUACUUGUCCCAAGAAGGGGAUCUUUAGAAUAGCACCUGCAGGAAAACCAGCAUCAGAGGUUUAAAAAAUGAAGGAAAUGACCAAAUGAAUGUCCCUCAGCUGUGCCCUACACAUCUAGCUAAGUUUUCUGCCUGAUUUCCUCAUCUACAGAAAUGCCCAACCAUCCUGGGGACAUCAGGCCAAUUAUUCUGAGAGUGAUGCAGAUUUCUUCAUACAAACAUAAAUAAGAACAUAAAUAACAGCUUGCUUUUAAUUGACCAGAUUUCAGACCAAAAUUUUCUCUUUCAGCCUGAUUUUUUGUUUGUUUGUUUGGAAGUAUUCACAAACUCAUGGAAAUGCAUGACACCUCAUUGAGUAGGUCUCAAACUAGUUUCUGUUCAGAAUUUGAAGUGUCUGAAUCUGGAGAAGAAUUCCUUCCAGAACAACACCUAAUUAUUCUUAUAGAUGUAAAACUCAGUAUCUUUGGAGCAUGUAUUCAGUGAGAUAUAUAUCCAAGAUCAUCAGGUCCAGUGGUGGACCAAACACCAUCUUUGUCAAGCAGACCAGAGCCCUGAGUGCCACAUCCAGUCACUCCCUGGGCACCUCCAGGGACAGGGACUCCACCACUUCCCAGGGAAGCCCCUUCCAAUGCCUGACCACCCUUUCAGUGAAGAAAUUCUUCCUGGCAAACCUGAACUUCAUUUGAAGACAAAAACAUUGGAAAACUGUUUUUUCCAUAUUUGAGUUUCUGGCGUUGGGACCCAUUAUUUCAAUUUUGUAUUAUUCACACAAAAUUGCUGAUGCAUUUAAGUUCUCCAUGGAGAAACCUCUAAAUUCACAUAUGUUUUUAGUCAUAUAAGCAUCACACUGACCUGUGAGUGCUCCUCCCACAAUUGCAAUUCCAAGUGUACUUCCCAGGGCAGCAGCCUGCAUGGCAGGAGUAAGCGGGUGACCAUUCCUGGAAAGGGUAAAAAACCAAACCAUUGCCUAUCAAAAAAUUGUUACACUUUGAGACUGAUGAUCAUUCUUACAACUUGCAGUUGCUGCAUGCUGGACAAGGUGACUGAUAGGAAAAUAUCCUAGAAUCUUUAUGGUUGGAAAAGAUCUCCAAGAACAUUGAGUCCAAAAAUCCUGCCAUUGCUGUGUACUAGAAGGAACUCAUUACUUUAAUUUAACUUUGUUUUAGGCUACAGAUGAAAACAAGUUAUUUGAGAAGGUUAUUAAUGUCCUGUAAGUCAUUAGCGAAUACUCCCCGUUGUCAAAACAACCAGCAUUUCAUCUUUUUGGAGUCUUAUGAGACAGUGGA
Molecule: long non-coding RNA, 1856 nt
Organism: Passer domesticus (house sparrow)
Lineage: Eukaryota; Metazoa; Chordata; Aves; Passeriformes; Passeridae
Exons: 3
Source: RefSeq, a predicted model, not a curated record